This 776-nucleotide ribosomal RNA is filed under the name uncultured Actinomycetes bacterium. RNAcentral's name for it is "bacterial SSU rRNA". It matches the Rfam family "Bacterial small subunit ribosomal RNA", at positions 61 to 823 of the family's 1533-position model. The record is from RNAcentral. Lineage: Bacteria; Bacillati; Actinomycetota; Actinomycetes.
GUCGAGCGAGAACCAGUCCUUCGGGACUGGGGACAGCGGCGAACGGGUGAGUAACACGUGGGUAAUCAACCCUCGGUACUGGGAUAGCCCGGGGAAACCCGGAUUAAUACCGGAUGGCCCUUUGGAUCUUCGGAUCUGACGGAAAAGGUAGCUUCGGCCUCCGACCGAGGACGAGCCCGCGGCGGAUUAGCUUGUUGGUGGGGUAACGGCCUACCAAGGCGACGAUCCGUAGCUGGUCUGAGAGGACGAUCAGCCACACUGGGACUGAGACACGGCCCAGACUCCUACGGGAGGCAGCAGUGGGGAAUCUUGCGCUAAUGCGGGAAACCGUGACGCAGCGACGCCGCGUGAGGGAAGAAGGCCUUCGGGUUGUAAACCUCUUUCAGGAGGGACGAAGCCACUCGGGUGAAUAGCCCAGAGGGUGACGGUACCUCCAGAAGAAGCCCCGGCUAACUACGUGCCAGCAGCCGCGGUAAUACGUAGGGGGCAAGCGUUGUCCGGAUUUAUUGGGCGUAAAGAGCGUGUAGGCGGCUAGAUAGGUCCGUUGUGAAAACUCGAGGCUCAACCUCGAGACGCCGGUGGAAACCAUCUAGCUAGAGUCCGGAAGAGGAGAGUGGAAUUCCUGGUGUAGCGGUGAAAUGCGCAGAUAUCAGGAAGAACACCCGUGGCGAAGGCGGCUCUCUGGUACGUGACUGACGCUGAGACGCGAAAGCGUGGGGAGCGAACAGGAUUAGAUACCCUGGUAGUCCACGCCGUAAACGAUGGGUGCUAGGUGU